AACGCACAUUGCGCCCGCCAGUAUUCUGGCGGGCAUGCCUGUCUGAGCGUCAUUUCAACCCUCAUGCCCCUAGGGCGUGGUGUUGGGGAUCGGCCAAAGCCCGUGAGGGACGGCCGGCCCCUAAAUCUAGUGGCGGACCCGUCGUGGCCUCCUCUGCGAAGUAGUGAUAUUCCGCAUCGGAGAGCGACGAGCCCCUGCCGUUAAACCCCCAACUUUCCAAGGUUGACCUCAGAUCAGGUAGGAAUACCCGCUGAACUUAA
Molecule: unclassified non-coding RNA, 260 nt
Filed under: uncultured fungus
Lineage: Eukaryota; Fungi
Description: sequence contains ITS2
Rfam family: 5.8S ribosomal RNA (bases 1-52)
Source: RNAcentral